AAUCAAUGCGAGUGGGGAGCAGGGGCGGGAGAAUGUGUUAGGCUUUUUCCCCUGGCUGCAGUUUGGAGGAGCAGAGAACUGCGGGGGCUGGAGAGGAAGCUGGAAAGCCAUGGAGGGGGGAGAAGGCCUUGAAGACCAUGAACACCAGUUUAAGGACCACAUCAGCCAACUGUGAGGGAACUGUGUUGGCCCCUGGCCUUUCUUAAACGCGUCUCCUGGCUAUGGGCUGUCCUUACCUCCUUCCCUCACACCUCUAAAUAACCUGAAAUAUCCCCCUCACACCCCGACGCAAAGACUAAAGCUAGAAUUCCUCGUAACUGCUCCACUCUGCCAUACCACACAGGGCCUCCAGAGGGAGCCCUCCUCAGGGUUCCCAAACCUGCCGGAAAUGGCCAAAACUGACACUUGGGAAGAAAGUUCAAGUUUUGAAUGACUGACAGCUCCAAGGUCAUUGCACAGGAAAAGCGGAGGCCAGGCAUGACUUUGUCAGGUGCCUGACUCUCCUCAGGCUGCAGACACCAGACCAGAACUCAUCACUUGGGGGAGAGGGGUUGCGGGGGUAGUGGGAAACCUCUCACUGCCACAACCGCCAGCCCUGUAAAAGCCCUGGUUAACCGAAGCUUACCACCCUGUGUGGAGGCUGAUCUGGAGUCUGUGAGCCUCUCCUUCCAGACCGCACCCGACCUAACCCUCAGUCUCUUCCAGUCUACACUGAAAAUAACGUCUCCCAACCUGUUCCAGAACCUGGGGGUCCUCAGUAAUGACCUCAUCCUUUCAGACUCCUUUUACUCCCCUUCCUCCCACCCUCUUCCUCCUCUAUGCCCUGCUGAAAAGCCACGUCAGUGCAGAACAACACCCUGCCCGCCUGAGGGAUUAGGAUCCAUUUCCCUCUGAAGCGCUGCCCCUUCACAGCCUUGACAGAGCUGUUGCAGGCAGCAAGCACCUGACUAGCCAGCAGAGCCCUCGUAAGAUUCAACCCCCCACAGACAUCAGUGUGGCCCUGAGGAAGGCAGUAAGGCUGAGGUCGGGUAAGAUCACCCACCAGCAUAACCGCAUAAUGGGGAAGCCUCUUGGCUCUGGGCACACAUUAUGGAAUUUGAGACUUUGAGAAGGAUCUAAGGACGAAAAUGCCAGGUACUGGAGAAUCUUCUGGGGCUUUGCCUGCUGUAGUGCGACCCACUGCCGGGAGCUUUGAGGUGAGCUCCGAGUCCACGCCAUGCCUCAGGACAUGGAGGAAAAGGUGCAGGGCGGGGAGACGUUGGAAGUCACUAGAGACACAGCACCCUUCAGCUAUAGGACAAAAGGAGGUAGCUGCCGUGUCGUCCAAACUCAGCUUGACCCAGCAGGGACCAAGGGAGAGAUUGUACAUUGUCUCGUUCACCGUUAUGAGUCUGGAGCCAUCAGUAUCACCGAUGUUUCCUUGCCCGUAACAGCCAGUGGCAGCAUAGAUCGUGAGCCUCCACUGGUUUGUGGUGUUCCACGAAGCACGGACAUCCUCAGGGUCUCUAGCAGCAGCAUGGGCCAUGGACCACAGAUGUCAACACGGCCUUAGGUAGCAGCACAGGCCGCACACAUCAAGAUGGCCUCUGGUGGCCAAAUGGACCACAGACAAGAACAUGGCCUCUCAUGGUAACAUGGACAACAUGGCUUCUCGUGGGAGCAUGGACCUCUAACAUUUCCUUCUACUCUCCCAUAUCUACCAGUCACUACGAACUUCUUCGAUUUUUCACAAAUGAUUAUCAUUUAUCUAUUUGCUUUUAGAGCAAGAUGUCAGGCAGGUAUCUUAGUUGCAUCUUCUAUUGCUUUGAUGAAGCACCAUGCCCAAAAACAAGCUGGUGAGGAAGUAGCUUAUUUGACUUACACUUCCAUGUCCCUGUUUGUCACUGAAGGUCGGAACAGGAAAGAAACAGGGCAUGCACCUAGAGGCAGGAGCUGACGCAGAGACCACAGAGAGAUGAUGCUUACUGUAGUGCUCCCCAUGCCCUGCCAGCCUGCUUUAUUGAACCCAGGAAAACUGGCCCACUCUCAAUGGGCUGGGCCAUACCCCUUCAAUCAGUAAUUAAGAAAAUGCAUUACAGGCCCGAUGUGGGAUGUCCUGUAUGCUGUGAAUAUGUGUUGCUUUUAUUGGUUGACGAAUACAGCUGCUUUGGCCCAUGGCAGGGCAGAAUACAGCUAGACCAGAAAUCCAAGCAGAGAUACAGAGAGAAAGAAGGCAGACUUGAGAGAAGAUGCAAGCAUCCACUGAGGAGGCAAGACAUGUAGAAAAUGAGGUAAUGCCACGGCCACGUAGCAAUAUAUAGAUUAAUAGAAAUGGGUUAAUUUAAAUGUAAGAGCUAGCUAGUAAUAAGCCAAAGCCAUAGGCCAGACCAUUAUAAUUAAUAUUAAGCCUCUGAGUGAUUAUAAGUGGCUGUGGGACUGCCAGGCAGGACAGAAGGACUCUGGCUACAAAUGGUGUCCAAGGUUAGACUCUUGAGUUUCUAUAAGGCCUAUUUAAAGCUUAUAAAAGGGCUUCUAGACACACAAUAAUGGAGCCAAAAACAGUUCGUAGUUGAUGUCUGUUAUUGUGGGCCAUAGUGCAGAACUGCAUCCCCAGCUGCAGCAUGGUGGACUCUGAGGUCUUUCACAGCCACGGUACAAAAAGGCUCCUCCCAGCAUGGCCUGCAGGCCUGAGAGCACAGCUGAGGGGCUAAGAGUCCAGCCACAUGCUGUAUGGUGGGCUCCUGAGGCUGUUUCACGGGCCACUGUAAAGAGGCUUCUCCCAGCUGCUAUCUACAGGAGGUAAGCGUGAUGCUCACUGCCAACUUUGCCAUGCUGGAAAGCCUAAUGGGGUGGAGCCAGCAGCCAAAGCUGCCACUUUAGUCCUAGUCAUGUCUGCUUAGCAGUUUAAAGCAAUGAUCCGAAAAGGAUUACAAUAAAGAGAGAUUCAGACAAAAAGAAAUUACUGAAUGGGUCACAGUAUGUUUUAAAAAUGUACAUAGGCUUGAGAGAGGAAAAAUGAUAGAGACAUAGAUUAAAAGAACAAUAUAGAAAUAGAGUAAUAAAAAUUAUAAUGAGCCACAUAAAGAUGAACAUACACAGAGAGUCUGGAUUUUGUAUAUUUAUGUUUUCUUUCAAUUUAUUGACUUAAUGGGCUAGCUGAUGAGAGGCAUGUGGUAAUUGGACUACUAAGUCAAACCAACAUGUUGUAUGAUUGGUCCAUCUCAACCAGAAUCCUUGAAACUGCUGUGGAUGUUCAAUGACCUGGGUCAUUGUUCCCAUUGGAGACCUUUCAGGGGAUCUUGUUCAACCAAACCAUAUUAACCUGGAAGGAACCCAUAGCUUCUCAUCUUCUGUGGAAACAAAAGCAGAACCUCUUUUGCAAAGCAAUAUAUCCUUAGACUUAACUUUUAAAGUUAAGAUAAAUUUAAAUGAUAAUGUUGGGUGACUGUCCAGGCAGCCAGAUGUCUCUGUCAUUUCUAGAGUUUUGGAAGAUGCUUACAAUGCACUUCCUGUUUACUUACGUAAUAUUAUAUCCUUCUGGGGUCUUUGAUGGAAUUGAAUACUAGACAGUUAUAAUUAAAGCUUUCCUUGUUUAUGAUAGACAAUAAUUUAGAUAUAAAAUUUUAGGUUCACAAAGAUAGGAUAGAUGAUAGAGUAUUUUCUUUAAUUUUGCCAAAUAUAAACAAACUAAAUAUUAUAACUGUAAUUCUUGCUUGAUACCUGUUUUGCUAUCUGUAAUUUUACAAUGUUAAAGCUGAAAACUACCUUUUAAAUUAGACAGAAAAGAAAAAAUGA
Molecule: long non-coding RNA, 3774 nt
Organism: Mesocricetus auratus (golden hamster)
Lineage: Eukaryota; Metazoa; Chordata; Mammalia; Rodentia; Cricetidae
Exons: 2
Source: RefSeq, a predicted model, not a curated record